GUUCUCGUUAGAUCACCAAAGUCAAGCAUCAUUGGGCGCGGUCAGUACUUGGGUGGGUGACCACCUGGGAACACCGCGUGUCGUU
RNAcentral lists this ribosomal RNA (85 nucleotides) under Caerostris darwini. Lineage: Eukaryota; Metazoa; Arthropoda; Arachnida; Araneae; Araneidae. The record is from RNAcentral.